UGCACAAGGUCCAGUGAUGACAAAAUGUUUCAACAUUUACAGUGGCUAGCUACGGCGAUGAUGUCUACUAAUUAACCAUCUUUCGGGACUGACGGAUUUUGUGCA
This 105-nucleotide small nucleolar RNA is filed under the name Lachancea thermotolerans CBS 6340. Lineage: Eukaryota; Fungi; Ascomycota; Saccharomycetes; Saccharomycetales; Saccharomycetaceae. The record is from RNAcentral.